Molecule: ribosomal RNA, 267 nt
Filed under: uncultured bacterium
Lineage: Bacteria
Description: partial 16S ribosomal RNA
Rfam family: Bacterial small subunit ribosomal RNA
Source: RNAcentral
GUCCACGCCGUAAACGAUGGGUGCUAGAUGUUACUGGAAUUGACCCCGGUAGUAUCGUAGCUAACGCGCUAAGCACCCCGCCUGGGGAGUACGGCCGCAAGGCUAAAACUCAAAGGAAUUGACGGGGGCCCGCACAAGCGGUGGAGCAUGUGGUUCAAUUCGACGCAACGCGAAGAACCUUACCUGGGUUGGAACCCUCCAGAAGUCCGCAGAGAUGUGGAUGUGCCCGCAAGGGAACUGGAUGUCCAGGUGCUGCAUGGCUGUCGU